AUUGUAUAUCAACACGGAAAAUGUUUUAUAUUUGUUAAAUAAUAUAUAAGAUAUAUAUAUAAUUGCUAUAAAGUGCAAUCAUCAUAAAUCGCUUAUUUAUCGGCCAUAAAUAAAAUAAAAUAAAAAACAUACAAUUUUCUGACGUUCACCUACACCAGGAGUCAGAAUUAUGAGAAGAAUUACCACUCUCCCUAAAAACGGCUUUUGCUCAAACGUUGUUGUAAUAAGGGGGCGACAGAACAUCUAUAUAUAAGCGUCCUGUCUAAUAUAACUAAUAUAGGUUACUGCACCUAAGUUUCUCAACUUAAAUUAUGUCUGCAAUCUUGUAGCAGACAUAUUUAAUUUAAUUUAAUUUAUUAACUUUGCCAGAUUUAAACAACGUUAACACAAAAAACUGGCAGGGCAAUCGCAACAGCUUGCGCCAAUUACUGCGAUCCCUAAAUGUUAGACAAAUACACUAUAUACGUACAUAGAAAGAAUCAUUUACAAGCGAAUUAUCAGAUGCAACUUUUCACAUUGCGACCCGCAGAACCACUUCCAUUUUUGGAAGCUGACUGAGUCAGAAGACGUUUGAAACCCUCACAAUCCUAAACCUUCAGCAAAACCUGAAUAGGCCCCAUAGAUACCAAUGUGAAAAGGUACUUCUGAAAACUAAAUCUAAAAACAACACGUUAUCGGCCUUGUCAGG
This is a non-coding RNA of Paramuricea clavata, 688 nucleotides long. The record is from the annotation of a GenBank genome assembly. Lineage: Eukaryota; Metazoa; Cnidaria; Anthozoa; Malacalcyonacea; Plexauridae.